This 517-nucleotide long non-coding RNA is filed under the name Malus domestica (apple). RNAcentral's name for it is "long non-coding RNA (MDOM_LNC006104)". Lineage: Eukaryota; Viridiplantae; Streptophyta; Magnoliopsida; Rosales; Rosaceae. The record is from RNAcentral.
ACCAAUGAUCACUUAUUAGUUCUAUUCAUUGUCUUUUAUCGUGAUUUUCAAUUUUUCGUUUGCAAUUUUUUUUUUUUUUUUUUAUAUAUAUUUUCUUGUGUUACUUAACUGAAUUAUUUCUUUUCUUUGCAGGAAAAUUGGUUAUUUCCACCCUUGAAGUUGAUUGCAGAAUUUUAGCUUGGGGGUCAUCGCUUGAUUUUACUGCAAACUAGGGAAGUUUUCAGUCCCAUUGUUUUAUUUUGCUUCUUAUUAUUUAUUUAUUUUAUUUUUAUUUGCAGUAUAGUAUUUUCUGACAUUGGGGACAAUGUCCAAUUUAAGUUUGGGGAUAAAGAGUAUAAAAAAUGACCAAAUUGAAAUUUUUUUUUUUUGUACCUUCAACUACUAACGAGUUUCAUUUGUUUCCAUGUUGUUGCUUUUUGUUUUCUUAAUUAGUUUUGUUUUCUUUAAAAAAAAAUAAAUAAAUAAAAAAAAAAAAUCGGAAAAUUUAAAAAUCCAAAAAUAUUGUCUUGUUUCCCUU